AGGCAGUUCCAAGUUAUUCUGCUAGACGAGCAAUCUUUGAACAAUAUGUUAGGACACGUGCUGAGGAAGAAAGGAAGGAGAAGAAAGCAGCUCAGAAGGCUGCAAUUAUUGGUUUCAAACAACUAUUGGAAGAAGCCUUGGAGGAUAUGAUUCACAGAUUAGACUUUCAAACAUUUAAAAGAAAAUAGGGAGAUGAUCCACGGUUUGAGGUCAUAGAACGUAAAGAAAGAGAGUUUCUUUUCAAUGAAAAGGUGUUGCUAAGGAAGAAGGCGGCUGAAGAAAAGAUUCAUGCAGAAAGAGCAGCAGCUAUGGGUAGCUUCAAGUCAAUGUUGAAGGAGAGGCAAGACAUAUCUGCAAUUAGUCGAUGGUCAAAGGUAGCUUUUUAUCAUAAUGUUUGUUUGUUUUUAUUGUUUUUUUCCAUUUGGUUGCCUUUCAACUAUUGUGAUGCAAGUGACUUGGAAUUAUUUGUUGGUCUGAAGUAGUUAUGUAUGUAUUUAUUUAUA
Molecule: long non-coding RNA, 503 nt
Organism: Phalaenopsis equestris
Lineage: Eukaryota; Viridiplantae; Streptophyta; Magnoliopsida; Asparagales; Orchidaceae
Exons: 3
Source: RefSeq, a predicted model, not a curated record